This 100-nucleotide small RNA is filed under the name Staphylococcus saprophyticus. RNAcentral describes it as "Guanidine-I sequence". It matches the Rfam family "Guanidine-I riboswitch aptamer". From Rfam's summary of the family: This family represents a conserved RNA structure found upstream of the ykkC and yxkD genes in Bacillus subtilis and related genes in other bacteria. The function of this family is unclear although it has been suggested that it may function to switch on efflux pumps and detoxification systems in response to harmful environmental molecules. Lineage: Bacteria; Bacillati; Bacillota; Bacilli; Caryophanales; Staphylococcaceae. The record is from RNAcentral. RNAcentral also lists the same sequence under 1 other name.
AAUAAAGCUUUCUAGGGUUCCGCAAGGUGAUUACUUUGGUCUGGUCCGAGAGAAAGCCACAUAUUUUUAUGUGACACGGAAGGAUAAAAGCCUGGGAGAU